CAGUCGCCGCGGUAAUACGAAGGGGGCUAGCGUUGCUCGGAAUGACUGGGCGUAAAGGGCGCGUAGGCGGCGAUCAAAGUCAGGCGUGAAAUUCCUGGGCUCAACCUGGGAAUGGCGCUUGUGACUGCAAAGCUAGAGUGCGGCAGAGGGGGAUGGAAUUCCGCGUGUAGCAGUGAAAUGCGUAGAUAUGCGGAGGAACACCGAUGGCGAAGGCAAUCCCCUGGGCCUGCACUGACGCUCAUGCACGAAAGCGUGGGGAGCAAACAGGAUUAGAUACCCGGGUAGUCCCUGUCUCUUAUAC
RNAcentral lists this ribosomal RNA (301 nucleotides) under uncultured bacterium. RNAcentral describes it as "partial 16S ribosomal RNA". It matches the Rfam family "Bacterial small subunit ribosomal RNA", at positions 509 to 807 of the family's 1533-position model. The record is from RNAcentral.